RNAcentral lists this ribosomal RNA (496 nucleotides) under uncultured bacterium. Its description in RNAcentral is "partial 16S ribosomal RNA". It matches the Rfam family "Bacterial small subunit ribosomal RNA", at positions 29 to 507 of the family's 1533-position model. The record is from RNAcentral.
AUGAACGCUGGCGGCGUGCCUAAUACAUGCAGGUCGAGCGAACGGACGAGAAGCUUGCUUCUCUGAUGUUAGCGGCGGACGGGUGAGUAACACGUGGAUAACCUACCUAUAAGACUGGGAUAACUUCGGGAAACCGGAGCAAAUACCGGAUAAUAUUUUGAACCGCAUGGUUCAAAAGUGAAAGACGGUCUUGCUGUCACUUAUAGAUGGAUCCGCGCUGCAUUAGCUAGUUGGUAAGGUAACGGCUUACCAAGGCAACGAUGCAUAGCCGACCUGAGAGGGUGAUCGGCCACACUGGAACUGAGACACGGUCCAGACUCCUACGGGAGGCAGCAGUAGGGAAUCUUCCGCAAUGGGCGAAAGCCUGACGGAGCAACGCCGCGUGAGUGAUGAAGGUCUUCGGAUCGUAAAACUCUGUUAUUAGGGAAGAACAUAUGUGUAAGUAACUGUGCACAUCUUGACGGUACCUAAUCAGAAAGCCACGGCUAACUACGUG